This 437-nucleotide ribosomal RNA is filed under the name uncultured bacterium. RNAcentral's name for it is "partial 16S ribosomal RNA". It matches the Rfam family "Bacterial small subunit ribosomal RNA", at positions 29 to 507 of the family's 1533-position model. The record is from RNAcentral.
AGCGAACGCUGGCGGCAGGCUUAACACAUGCAAGUCGAGCGGGCAUCCUUGUGGUGUCCGCGGCAGACGGGAGAGUAACGCGUGGGAACGAGGCCUUCGGCUCGGAAUAACUCAGGGAAAAUUGAGCUAAUACCGGAUACGUGCGAGAGCAGAAAGGUUUAUCUGCCGAAGGAUCGGCCCGCGUCUGAUUAGCUAGUUGGUGAGGUUAUGGCUCACCAAGGCGACGAUCAGUAGCUGGUCUGAGAGGAUGAUCAGCCACACUGGGACUGAGACACGGCCCAGACUCCUACGGGAGGCAGCAGUGGAGAAUAUUGGGCAAUGGGGGCAACCCUGAUCCAGCCAUGCCGCGUGAGUGAUGACGGCCUUAGGGUUGUAAAUCUCUUUUCUCCGGGACGAUAAUGACGGUACCGGAGGAAUAAGCCCCGGCUAACUUCGUG